This 108-nucleotide small RNA is filed under the name Salmonella enterica. Its description in RNAcentral is "partial RtT sRNA". It matches the Rfam family "RtT RNA", at positions 1 to 107 of the family's 130-position model. Rfam says of the family: This family represents a bacterial cis-regulatory element known as RtT RNA. The exact function of RtT is unknown although it is thought that it may be involved in changing the cellular response in relation to amino acid starvation. RNAcentral also lists the same sequence under 1 other name. Lineage: Bacteria; Pseudomonadati; Pseudomonadota; Gammaproteobacteria; Enterobacterales; Enterobacteriaceae. The record is from RNAcentral.
AUAUCUCUCUGUACGGGAAGGAUGAGAAGCUUCGACCAAGGUUCGAUUCGAGCGCAGCGAGAAAGCGUUGCCGCAGGCAACGACCCGAAGGGCGAAGCGCGCAGCGCU